CACCAUCGACACCACAAUCUGCUAACGGUAUUUCUCUUUUUUGGAUACAGAAAUGGGAGUCGCAGAGACAGGAAAAAUAGUGUCUAGUCUAGUCUAGUGAAAAGGGCUGAAAAAAUGAGUUGGAAUAGUGCAAGUGUUUAGUGUGAUAUUUAGAAACGACCGACAAACCGCAUAGAAAUAGAACGUCCGAGGAAAAAAGCAAUGUUGCAGUGGGGGAAGACGAAAAUCCCAAUUUGUGACUGAAGUUUAUAUAAUAUUCAUGCGGAGGGGUAAAUAGUUAUCGUCAUAACUUUGAUAGCUAAUCCCUUUUAAACCCUUUAAGCCUCGAUAGAUCACGACGUCCUUGGGGAGACUCAGGGGCUUGUUCUUCAAGGAAUAGGGGAGAUAUUUGGUUCAUGCUCUUCUCUCCUGAUCCAUGGUACUGCUUUAUGGUCUCCAUGGCCCUCGUUAUGGCUUCCCUGCUCCAGGAUCCACGCGAAGUGCUGCAUAAUUCCUUUUCCGACAAAGCUGUUUUUUUCUGCUCCCUCAAGGAUAAAUAUAUUAUUUAAGCAUCAGUCACAAAUUGGGAUUUUCGUCUCCCCCGGCUACAGCAUAUUUCUCUCAACAAACCUCGAGCCCAUCUCCACCUACUAGACGACCACUGGCUGUUACUCAGAGCACCAUCAAGGUCACCAUAAAGUUGGUGAUCAGGAAGCCAAAGGAGAACCUCUCGCCAUUCCUUUACAAUCUCGUCAACAAAGUCAUGAGGGCGCACAAAUUUGAUCCCGCGAAGGCCAAGCUAGCUUCAUUCACUCUAACGGUAACGAUAACGGUAUCUUAUUUUGGCUACGGGAUUCGCAGAGGCGACACAUGACAAAAUCGCAUUGUAUUGAAAAGUUGUGAAAAAAAUUGAUUGCUGUGGUGUGGUGGUCAAGAGUGCCAGGGAGCACCCCACAUCCACAUCAGUAACCAACAGUGAAAGUGUAGAGAGCCAUGGAACGUUCGAAGAGAAAAACAGUCUGAGAAGACAAAUCUCACUCAGGAUUCCCGAGAGGAUACACUGAGGACUUCCUCCCUUGGACGUUGGCGAAUUAUUAGGCUGGCCACAUGGAGAGGGAACAGCAGAAACUUGUCGGCAAAGCAGAUAUGCAGCACUUCGCGUGGAUCCGGGAGCGGGGAAGCCAUGAAGAGGGCCAUAGGCACCAUCAGGCAGCACCAUGGAUCAGAAGAGAAGAGUAGGAUCAAAUGUCUGCCAUAUCCCUUGAAGAACAAGCCCCGAAGCUCCUAAUUUUCGUGAGGUGUCGAGACUCCAAGCAGCUUUCUUCUCCAUCGGCUACAACAUCUUCACCAAAAAGCUGUAGCCCAUCUCUACCUACCAGACCACUCAGGUUGCCACCCAGCAGGACACCAUCAAGCAGUUUGAUCCCAUGAAGGCCAAGCUCGCAACAAUAAGCUGCAAUUGCAAAGUACCUCUGCCAUCUUCGACAGCGGAAGCCGUUGGUAGGAAUAGCACCCCAGCAUCUCAGCAUUUUUCAGAAAACGUGGUGAGUCGCAAUACACAUUUUAAUAAUUAACAACAUUGCAUUAACUGCAUUUCAGUAUAAUUUUUUAACGAUUUGCAAAUAGAUAAUAAUAUAUUAUAUUUGCUAUUCUAAGUGCAAAGCAAUAAAAUAAGUUUUGUAAGAGAAGAGAAUCCGUGAAAAAUCCAUUACAUGUUUUCUGUUUUAUAAGAAAACUUUUCUUUAUAAUUUUAAGCGUAAAACUUGAGCGAAAACCGCUUAAUCGCGAUAUAAUUCCCUAAUGCUUUAUAGAUAACUAUUUAAAUUUUUUAUUUAGUGUUCUAAGUGCCAAAGGAAGAAUAUAAUUUUGAAGGUAUAAUACAAAUACGAUUAAAAUUUAGAUUUUGUAUGUAAAAACAAUGCAAAAAAAUGUACCGCUCACAGGAUUUGAACAGUCGGAUACUAAAAAUAAUGAUAUGUUAAAGCGGGUGUUAAAGGAAAGCAAUUGUUCAGCUCGGAAAACAAUUGCAGGGUUUUGAAAUAGCCGCGUAAAUGUUUUAACGUUGGAAAACAAUUGCAAAGUUUGGAUUUUCCCGCGUAAGCAAAGUGAUUCAAAUGUCUUGAAUCCGGUUUGUGUCUUGGUUGAAAAAUUUGCCGCUUUUAACAUUUGAAGUGUUUGAAAAGUUCAAAUGUCCCUACACUUAAGAACUAUACUUCAGUCGAGCUAAAUUUAGAUGGUUAGAAAUUCAUGUUAAAUCUCUUAAAUAAGCGUUUAUAUACUAGGUUACUCAAUGAAUAUGCAUCUCAAACAUAUUAAAUAAAUCUCAUAGUAAAAUUUGGUGUGGUCGUGUUGUUAACAUUCAAGAAAUACUGCAUUUCAACAGUAAUAUGCAAAUUCUGUCCAAAAGAGAAAAAUAGAUAAAUAAAAAAUAGUUGUUGUUAAAAACAAAAACACCCAAGAGGGGGGGGGUAUAAAAAAAAUAAACAAAAAUAAAACUUAGGAAAAGAGUAGAAAA
Long non-coding RNA from Phlebotomus papatasi, 2494 nucleotides. RefSeq lists it as uncharacterized. The record is from RefSeq and is a predicted model, not a curated record. The transcript has 5 exons. NCBI's taxonomy places the organism in Eukaryota, Metazoa, Arthropoda, Insecta, Diptera, Psychodidae.